Macadamia integrifolia is the source of this 474-nucleotide long non-coding RNA. RefSeq lists it as uncharacterized. The record is from RefSeq and is a predicted model, not a curated record. Lineage: Eukaryota; Viridiplantae; Streptophyta; Magnoliopsida; Proteales; Proteaceae. The transcript is spliced from 2 exons.
CGAAACAGAGGAAGAGAAGAAGGAAAGGGAAAAAAGAAAAGAAAGAGAAGGAGUGCUACAUGUUGCUGCUACGACUGCUAUUCCUACAGCUAAAGCUGCUGCUGCUGAUGCAUGCAAGCAUCCUUUGCUCUCCACAAUUAGAAGGUGCUACCAUGGUCUUACUCCAGCUGAAAAUUGAAGUGAAGGAUGGCUGAUCGAGCUACAUGCAUAACUCAAGAAGCACAAGAAAGGUAUUGAAGUUGAAGCAGAGAUGGUCAGAUGAUUUGUUGGAGAUGAAGACACUUAUAGGGAGUGCUUGUAGAUAGUGACUUAAUUGUACAUUGUAUAUAAUAUUGUAAUUAAGGGUAAGAUGUAAUAUGGACUUUGUUGUAACUUGUGGAAUCAAUUAGUGGGUCUGUAAUAUUGUAUAAGCAUCAUUGUAGCUAAUCAUCACGCGUAUCUUAUGAUUUUUAUGAAUUCUUAUGUACACUCUGA